Molecule: transfer RNA, 88 nt
Filed under: Lentisphaeria bacterium
Lineage: Bacteria; Pseudomonadati; Lentisphaerota; Lentisphaeria
Description: tRNA-Ser
Rfam family: tRNA
About the family: Transfer RNA (tRNA) molecules are approximately 80 nucleotides in length. Their secondary structure includes four short double-helical elements and three loops (D, anti-codon, and T loops). Further hydrogen bonds mediate the characteristic L-shaped molecular structure. tRNAs have two regions of fundamental functional importance: the anti-codon, which is responsible for specific mRNA codon recognition, and the 3' end, to which the tRNAs corresponding amino acid is attached (by aminoacyl-tRNA synthetases). tRNAs cope with the degeneracy of the genetic code in two manners: having more than one tRNA (with a specific anti-codon) for a particular amino acid; and 'wobble' base-pairing, i.e. permitting non-standard base-pairing at the 3rd anti-codon position.
Source: RNAcentral
GGAGGGGUGGCUGAGUGGUCGAAGGCGGCGGUCUUGAAAACCGUUGAGGCGAGAGCCUCCGUGGGUUCGAAUCCCACCCCCUCCGCCA